This 616-nucleotide ribosomal RNA is filed under the name uncultured bacterium. RNAcentral describes it as "bacterial SSU rRNA". It matches the Rfam family "Bacterial small subunit ribosomal RNA", at positions 8 to 635 of the family's 1533-position model. The record is from RNAcentral.
AGAGUUUGAUCCUGGCUCAGGACGAACGCUGGCGGCGUGCUUAACACAUGCAAGUCGAACGAUGACGAUGGUGCUUGCACCGUCUGAUUAGUGGCGAACGGGUGAGUAACACGUGAGUAACCUGCCCUCCUCUUCGGGAUAACCGCCGGAAACGGUGGCUAAUGCCGGAUAUGAAUGCCUGCCGCAUGGUGGGUGUUGGAAAGAUUUAUCGGUGGGGGAUGGACUCGCGGCCUAUCAGUUUGUUGGUGAGGUAAUGGCUCACCAAGGCGAUGACGGGUAGCCGGCCUGAGAGGGCGACCGGCCACACUGGGACUGAGACACGGCCCAGACUCCUACGGGAGGCAGCAGUGGGGAAUAUUGCACAAUGGGCGAAAGCCUGAUGCAGCGACGCCGCGUGGGGGAUGACGGCCUUCGGGUUGUAAACCUCUUUCAGCAGGGAAGAAGCGAGAGUGACGGUACCUGCAGAAGAAGCGCCGGCUAACUACGUGCCAGCAGCCGCGGUAAUACGUAGGGCGCAAGCGUUGUCCGGAAUUAUUGGGCGUAAAGAGCUUGUACGUGGCUUGUCNCGUCUGCCGUGAAAACCCGAGGCUCAACCUCGGGCGUGCGGUGGGUACGG